GGGCCCGUAGCCUAGUUUGGAUAAGGCGUCGGCCUUCGGAGCCGAAGACCCAGGGUUCAAAUCCCUGCGGGUCCGCCA
RNAcentral lists this transfer RNA (78 nucleotides) under archaeon. RNAcentral describes it as "tRNA-Arg". It matches the Rfam family "tRNA". From Rfam's summary of the family: Transfer RNA (tRNA) molecules are approximately 80 nucleotides in length. Their secondary structure includes four short double-helical elements and three loops (D, anti-codon, and T loops). Further hydrogen bonds mediate the characteristic L-shaped molecular structure. tRNAs have two regions of fundamental functional importance: the anti-codon, which is responsible for specific mRNA codon recognition, and the 3' end, to which the tRNAs corresponding amino acid is attached (by aminoacyl-tRNA synthetases). tRNAs cope with the degeneracy of the genetic code in two manners: having more than one tRNA (with a specific anti-codon) for a particular amino acid; and 'wobble' base-pairing, i.e. permitting non-standard base-pairing at the 3rd anti-codon position. The record is from RNAcentral. RNAcentral also lists the same sequence under 5 other names.